Molecule: ribosomal RNA, 577 nt
Filed under: uncultured bacterium
Lineage: Bacteria
Description: bacterial SSU rRNA
Rfam family: Bacterial small subunit ribosomal RNA
Source: RNAcentral
CCUACGGGAGGCAGCAGUAAGGAAUAUUGGUCAAUGGACGCAAGUCUGAACCAGCCAUGCCGCGUGAAGGAUUAAGGUCCUCUGGAUUGUAAACUUCUUUUAUCUGGGACGAAAAAAGGCGAUUCUUCGUCACUUGACGGUACCAGAUGAAUAAGCACCGGCUAACUCCGUGCCAGCAGCCGCGGUAAUACGGAGGGUGCAAGCGUUAUCCGGAUUCACUGGGUUUAAAGGGUGCGUAGGCGGGCAGGUAAGUCAGUGGUGAAAUCCUAGAGCUUAACUCUAGAACUGCCAUUGAUACUAUCUGUCUUGAAUAUUGUGGAGGUAAGCGGAAUAUGUCAUGUAGCGGUGAAAUGCUUAGAUAUGACAUAGAACACCUAUUGCGAAGGCAGCUUACUACGCAUAUAUUGACGCUGAGGCACGAAAGCGUGGGGAUCAAACAGGAUUAGAUACCCUGGUAGUCCACGCCCUAAACGAUGAUUACUCGACAUUUGUGAUACACUAUAAGUGUCUGAGCGAAAGCAUUAAGUAAUCCACCUGGAAGUACGACCGCAAGGUUGAAACUCAAAGGAAUUGACGG